GGUUAAGUUAGAAAGGGCGCACGGUGGAUGCCUUGACACUAGGAGUCGAUGAAGGACGGGACUAACGCCGAUAUGCUUCGGGGAGCUGUAAGUAAGCUUUGAUCCGAAGAUUUCCGAAUGGGGAAACCCACCAUACGUAAUGGUAUGGUAUCCUUAUCUGAAUACAUAGGGUAAGGAAGACAGACCCAGGGAACUGAAACAUCUAAGUACCUGGAGGAAGAGAAAGCAAAUGCGAUUUCCUGAGUAGCGGCGAGCGAAACGGAACAUAGCCCAAACCAAGAGGCUUGCCUCUUGGGGUUGUAGGACAUUCUAUACGGAGUUACAAAGGAACGAGGUAGACGAAGCGACCUGGAAAGGUCCGUCGUAGAGGGUAACAACCCCGUAGUCGAAACUUCGUUCUCUCUUGAAUGUAUCCUGAGUACGGCGGAACACGUGAAAUUCCGUCGGAAUCUGGGAGGACCAUCUCCCAAGGCUAAAUACUCCCUAGUGAUCGAUAGUGAACCAGUACCGUGAGGGAAAGGUGAAAAGCACCCCGGAAGGGGAGUGAAAGAGAUCCUGAAACCGUGUGCCUACAAAUAGUCAGAGCCCGUUAACGGGUGAUGGCGUGCCUUUUGUAGAAUGAACCGGCGAGUUACGAUCCCGUGCGAGGUUAAGCUGAAGAGGCGGAGCCGCAGCGAAAGCGAGUCUGAAUAGGGCGUUUAGUACGUGGUCGUAGACCCGAAACCAGGUGAUCUACCCAUGUCCAGGGUGAAGUUCAGGUAACACUGAAUGGAGGCCCGAACCCACGCACGUUGAAAAGUGCGGGGAUGAGGUGUGGGUAGCGGAGAAAUUCCAAUCGAACCUGGAGAUAGCUGGUUCUCCCCGAAAUAGCUUUAGGGCUAGCCUUAAGUGUAAGAGUCUUGGAGGUAGAGCACUGAUUGGACUAGGGGUCCUCAUCGGAUUACCGAAUUCAGUCAAACUCCGAAUGCCAAUGACUUAUCCUUAGGAGUCAGACUGCGAGUGAUAAGAUCCGUAGUCAAAAGGGAAACAGCCCAGACCGCCAGCUAAGGUCCCAAAGUGUGUAUUAAGUGGAAAAGGAUGUGGAGUUGCUUAGACAACUAGGAUGUUGGCUUAGAAGCAGCCACCAUUUAAAGAGUGCGUAAUAGCUCACUAGUCGAGUGACUCUGCGCCGAAAAUGUACCGGGGCUAAAUACACCACCGAAGCUGCGGAUUGAUACCGAAUGGUAUCAGUGGUAGGGGAGCGUUCUAAGGACAGUGAAGUCAGACCGGAAGGACUGGUGGAGUGCUUAGAAGUGAGAAUGCCGGUAUGAGUAGCGAAAGACGGGUGAGAAUCCCGUCCACCGAAUGCCUAAGGUUUCCUGAGGAAGGCUCGUCCGCUCAGGGUUAGUCAGGACCUAAGCCGAGGCCGACAGGCGUAGGCGAUGGACAACAGGUUGAUAUUCCUGUACCACCUCUUUAUCGUUUGAGCAAUGGAGGGACGCAGAAGGAUAGAAGAAGCGUGCGAUUGGUUGUGCACGUCCAAGCAGUUAGGCUGAUAAGUAGGCAAAUCCGCUUAUCGUAAAGGCUGAGCUGUGAUGGGGAAGCUCCUUAUGGAGCGAAGUCUUUGAUUCCCCGCUGCCAAGAAAAGCUUCUAGCGAGAUAAAAGGUGCCUGUACCGCAAACCGACACAGGUAGGCGAGGAGAGAAUCCUAAGGUGUGCGAGAGAACUCUGGUUAAGGAACUCGGCAAAAUGACCCCGUAACUUCGGGAGAAGGGGUGCUUUCUUAACGGAAAGCCGCAGUGAAUAGGCCCAAGCGACUGUUUAGCAAAAACACAGCUCUCUGCGAAGCCGUAAGGCGAAGUAUAGGGGGUGACACCUGCCCGGUGCUGGAAGGUUAAGGAGAGGGGUUAGCGUAAGCGAAGCUCUGAACUGAAGCCCCAGUAAACGGCGGCCGUAACUAUAACGGUCCUAAGGUAGCGAAAUUCCUUGUCGGGUAAGUUCCGACCCGCACGAAAGGUGUAACGAUUUGGGCACUGUCUCAACCAGAGACUCGGUGAAAUUAUAGUACCUGUGAAGAUGCAGGUUACCCGCGACAGGACGGAAAGACCCCGUGGAGCUUUACUGUAGCCUGAUAUUGAAUUUUGGUACAGUUUGUACAGGAUAGGCGGGAGCCAUUGAAACCGGAGCGCUAGCUUCGGUGGAGGCGCUGGUGGGAUACCGCCCUGACUGUAUUGAAAUUCUAACCUACGGGUCUUAUCGACCCGGGAGACAGUGUCAGGUGGGCAGUUUGACUGGGGCGGUCGCCUCCUAAAGUGUAACGGAGGCGCCCAAAGGUUCCCUCAGAAUGGUUGGAAAUCAUUCGUAGAGUGCAAAGGCAUAAGGGAGCUUGACUGCGAGACCUACAAGUCGAGCAGGGACGAAAGUCGGGCUUAGUGAUCCGGUGGUUCCGCAUGGAAGGGCCAUCGCUCAACGGAUAAAAGCUACCCCGGGGAUAACAGGCUUAUCUCCCCCAAGAGUCCACAUCGACGGGGAGGUUUGGCACCUCGAUGUCGGCUCAUCGCAUCCUGGGGCUGUAGUCGGUCCCAAGGGUUGGGCUGUUCGCCCAUUAAAGCGGUACGCGAGCUGGGUUCAGAACGUCGUGAGACAGUUCGGUCCCUAUCCGUCGUGGGCGUAGGAAAUUUGAGAGGAGCUGUCCUUAGUACGAGAGGACCGGGAUGGACGCACCGCUGGUGUACCAGUUGUUCUGCCAAGGGCAUAGCUGGGUAGCUAUGUGCGGAAGGGAUAAGUGCUGAAAGCAUCUAAGCAUGAAGCCCCCCUCAAGAUGAGAUUUCCCAUAGCGUAAGCUAGUAAGAUCCCUGAAAGAUGAUCAGGUUGAUAGGUUCGAGGUGGAAGCAUGGUGACAUGUGGAGCUGACGAAUACUAAUAGAUCGAGGACUUAACCAU
RNAcentral lists this ribosomal RNA (2923 nucleotides) under Bacillus cereus. RNAcentral describes it as "23S ribosomal RNA". It matches the Rfam family "Bacterial large subunit ribosomal RNA". Lineage: Bacteria; Bacillati; Bacillota; Bacilli; Caryophanales; Bacillaceae. The record is from RNAcentral.